CGAACGGGUGAGUAACGCGUGAGGAACCUGCCUCAAAGAGGGGGACAACAGUUGGAAACGACUGCUAAUACCGCAUAAGCCCACGGGUCGGCAUCGACCUGAGGGAAAAGGAGCAAUCCGCUUUGAGAUGGCCUCGCGUCCGAUUAGCUAGUUGGUGAGGUAACGGCCCACCAAGGCGACGAUCAGUAGCCGACCUGAGAGGGUGACCGGCCACAUUGGGACUGAGACACGGCCCAG
Molecule: ribosomal RNA, 237 nt
Filed under: uncultured bacterium
Lineage: Bacteria
Description: partial 16S ribosomal RNA
Rfam family: Bacterial small subunit ribosomal RNA
Source: RNAcentral